This 264-nucleotide long non-coding RNA is filed under the name Nicotiana benthamiana. RNAcentral describes it as "long non-coding RNA (NBEN_LNC036765)". The record is from RNAcentral. Lineage: Eukaryota; Viridiplantae; Streptophyta; Magnoliopsida; Solanales; Solanaceae.
AAAGACCAUGUGGUAACGCUUUAGAUUUAACUUGUUUACAUUUCAAACAAUGUGCCAACAUCUUUUCACUCCAUGUUAAAAGAAAUUUUCAGUAAGUAUGUCUAGUGUCUUUGGGACUCAAAACUAUCUCGUAAGAUCUCCACAAUAUGCUUCCCUUAUACAUAUUUUACGUAACGAGCAAUUAGGGAUACACAGCUUAUUUUCCUCUAAGAGAAACCCAUCUUGGAGGAUAAACCUCUCAAAAGGACCCAACUUACAAUCUGC